AUGAACGCUGGCGGCGUGCCUCAUCCCUGCCAGUCGAGCGAACAGACGAGGAGCUUGCUCCUCUGACGUUAGCGGCGGACGGGUGAGUAACACGUGGAUAACCUACCUAUAAGACUGGGAUAACUUCGGGAAACCGGAGCUAAUACCGGAUAACAUGUUGAACCGCAUGGUUCAACAGUGAAAGACGGUCUUGCUGUCACUUAUAGAUGGAUCCGCGCCGCAUUAGCUAGUUGGUAAGGUAACGGCUUACCAAGGCAACGAUGCGUAGCCGACCUGAGAGGGUGAUCGGCCACACUGGAACUGAGACACGGUCCAGACUCCUACGGGAGGCAGCAGUAGGGAAUCUUCCGCAAUGGGCGAAAGCCUGACGGAGCAACGCCGCGUGAGUGAAGAAGGUCUUCGGAUCGUAAAACUCUGUUAUUAGGGAAGAACAAAUGUGUAAGUAACUAUGCACGUCUUGACGGUACCUAAUCAGAAAGCCACGGCUAACUACGUG
Molecule: ribosomal RNA, 496 nt
Filed under: uncultured bacterium
Lineage: Bacteria
Description: partial 16S ribosomal RNA
Rfam family: Bacterial small subunit ribosomal RNA
Source: RNAcentral